ACACAUCUGAAUCUACUCUGGGUGGGGGAUAACGUAGGGAAGCUUACACUAAUACCGCAUACCACCUACGGGUGAGAGCUCGGGACCUUCGGGCCUUGCGCAAUUGAAUGAGCCGAUUUCGGAUUAUCUAGUUGGCAGGGUAAAGGCCCGCCACGGCGACUAUCCGUACCUGGUCGAAGAGGAUGAUCACCCACACUGAAACUGAGACACGGCCCAUACUCCUACGGGAGGCGGCAGUGGGGAAUAUUGGACAAUGGGCGCGAUCCUGAUCCACCCAUACCGCGUGGGUGGACAAGGCCUUCUGGUUGUAAAUCCCU
Molecule: ribosomal RNA, 317 nt
Filed under: Stenotrophomonas maltophilia
Lineage: Bacteria; Pseudomonadati; Pseudomonadota; Gammaproteobacteria; Lysobacterales; Lysobacteraceae
Description: bacterial SSU rRNA
Rfam family: Bacterial small subunit ribosomal RNA
Source: RNAcentral